GGACUACUGGGGUAUCUAAUCCUGUUCGCUCCCCACGCUUUCGCGUCUCAGCGUCAGUACCGUCCCAGAGAGCCGCCUUCGCCACGGGUGUUCUUCCUGAUAUCUGCGCAUUUCACCGCUACACCAGGAAUUCCACUCUCCUCUUCCGGACUCUAGCUUUGCAGUUUCCACCGGCGUCUCGAGGUUGAGCCUCGAGUUUUCACAACGGACUUGCAAAGCCGCCUACACGCUCUUUACGCCCAAUAAAUCCGGACAACGCUUGCCCCCUACGUAUUACCGCGGCUGCUGGCAC
This 292-nucleotide ribosomal RNA is filed under the name uncultured bacterium. RNAcentral describes it as "partial 16S ribosomal RNA". The record is from RNAcentral.